GCCUUCGGGGUGUAGUGGUCAGCACGCUCGACGCGUAAUCGAGAGGUCCGUGGUUCGAUUCCCGGCGAAGGCG
This 73-nucleotide transfer RNA is filed under the name Stegodyphus mimosarum. It matches the Rfam family "tRNA". Rfam says of the family: Transfer RNA (tRNA) molecules are approximately 80 nucleotides in length. The record is from Rfam by way of RNAcentral. Lineage: Eukaryota; Metazoa; Arthropoda; Arachnida; Araneae; Eresidae.